Molecule: transfer RNA, 63 nt
Filed under: Chelonia mydas (Green sea turtle)
Lineage: Eukaryota; Metazoa; Chordata; Testudines; Cheloniidae
Rfam family: tRNA
About the family: Transfer RNA (tRNA) molecules are approximately 80 nucleotides in length.
Source: Rfam by way of RNAcentral
CCAUGGUGUAAUGGUCUGCCCUCAGGAUUCUGAAUCCUGUAAUCUGAGUUCAAAUCUCAGUGG